GAAUCUCUUCUGGAGGUCCUCUCCACUGGAGUUUACCGUGUGAGCCCAGGAUAGGUGAAACUAAACCAGAACCUGGGUUCCAAAUGUCCCUCAGCUGCAUACAGGUGUCUGCUUCAUGGAACAAGACAGGAACUGUUCUGAAGUGAAGGUAAUAAAAACUGGGGUGAAGAAGGAAGAGGAGACCAAUUGAAGAAAUGGCAUUUGUCUUCCCAAGAAACCAUUAUGUGCGGUGAACCCUGCUUGGAAGUGGCUGAACAUCUGGCUGAUGAGGGAAGUAGUGAAUUAAUUCUGUGUUUUGCUUUGCUUGAUUUUUGCUUUACUUAGCAAACAGCCUUUAUCUCCCAUGUACUCUUACAUUUUACAUUUACAUUUUAUGCUUUUCUCUCAUAUCCCACUGGGGGAGAAUGAGUGAGCAGCUGUGUGGUGCUGAGCUGCCUGCUGUGGUUAAAUCACAACACAUGCUUUUCUUUCUUAGGCAGAGGACAGGCCAGAGGUAUCAGAUGUACACAGAGGCAUGGAGAAGAAGUCCAUUUUGAUGCACUUGGCAGUGUCUGUUGACUACUGGGGCGAAUCUACAGUCUUCCUGAUUUUUUCCAGCCUACUCCAAGGUAUAUGAAAUGAAAUGUUGGGAAGGAGCUCUUGAGACAUCCCAGUUCAUGCAUGAGGAACUAAAAACUAUGGACAAAAGCAUGUCGUUCAGAGAUGUGUGUAAAAAAAGAGGCUCCUUAAAUAAGACCUCAGAUGACACCAGAGUGGCUGCAUAA
Non-coding RNA from Meleagris gallopavo (turkey), 764 nucleotides. NCBI's taxonomy places the organism in Eukaryota, Metazoa, Chordata, Aves, Galliformes, Phasianidae. The record is from RefSeq and is a predicted model, not a curated record.